Molecule: ribosomal RNA, 509 nt
Filed under: uncultured bacterium
Lineage: Bacteria
Description: bacterial SSU rRNA
Rfam family: Bacterial small subunit ribosomal RNA
Source: RNAcentral
CGAACGCUGGCGGCGUGCUUAACACAUGCAAGUCGAACGCGAACGGGACUUCGGUCCCUAGUAGAGUGGCGCACGGGUGAGUAACGCGUAGAUAACCUAUCUUCCUGUCUGGAAUAAUACGCCGAAAGGAGUACGUAAUACCGGAUACUCUUGCUUUUCAUAAGUAUAGCAAGCAAAGGUGGCCUCUGUAUAUGCUACUGCAGGGAGAGGGGUCUGCGUACCAUUAGCUAGUAGGUGGGGUAAGGGCCUACCUAGGCUACGAUGGUUAGCGGGUCUGAGAGGAUGAUCCGCCACACUGGCACUGGAACACGGGCCAGACUCCUACGGGAGGCAGCAGUGAGGAAUAUUGCGCAAUGGGGGCAACCCUGACGCAGCGACGCCGCGUGAGUGAGGAAGGCCUUCGGGUCGUAAAGCUCUGUCAAGAGGAAAGAAGUGCAUAGCGGUUAAUACCCGUUAUGUUUGACGGUACCUCUAAAGGAAGCACCGGCUAACUCCGUGCCAGCAGCGGC